RNAcentral lists this ribosomal RNA (265 nucleotides) under uncultured bacterium. RNAcentral describes it as "partial 16S ribosomal RNA". It matches the Rfam family "Bacterial small subunit ribosomal RNA", at positions 793 to 1055 of the family's 1533-position model. The record is from RNAcentral.
GUCCACGCCCUAAACGAUGUCAACUGGUUGUUGGACGGCUUGCUGUUUAGUAACGAAGCUAACGCGUGAAGUUGACCGCCUGGGGAGUACGGCCGCAAGGUUGAAACUCAAAGGAAUUGACGGGGACCCCGCACAAGCGGUGGAUGAUGUGGUUUAAUUCGAUGCAACGCGAAAAACCUUACCUACCCUUGACAUGCCAGGAACUUGCCAGAGAUGGCUCGGUGCUCGAAAGAGAGCCUGGACACAGGUGCUGCAUGGCCGUCGU